Molecule: ribosomal RNA, 492 nt
Filed under: uncultured bacterium
Lineage: Bacteria
Description: partial 16S ribosomal RNA
Rfam family: Bacterial small subunit ribosomal RNA
Source: RNAcentral
AGUGAACGCUGGCGGUAGGCCUAACACAUGCAAGUCGAACGGCAGCACAGUAAGAGCUUGCUCUUACGGGUGGCGAGUGGCGGACGGGUGAGGAAUACAUCGGAAUCUACUUUUUCGUGGGGGAUAACGUAGGUAAACUUACGCUAAUACCGCAUACGACCUACGGGUGAAAGCAGGGGAUUUUCGGACCUUGCGCGAUUGAAUGAGCCGAUGUCGGAUUAGCUGGUUGGCGGGGUAAAGGCCCACCAAGGCGACGAUCCGUAGCUGGUCUGAGAGGAUGAUCAGCCACACUGGAACUGAGACACGGUCCAGACUCCUACGGGAGGCAGCAGUGGGGAAUAUUGGACAAUGGGCGCAAGCCUGAUCCAGCCAUACCGCGUGGGUGAAGAAGGCCUUCGGGUUGUAAAGCCCUUUUGUUGGGAAAGAAAAGCAGCAGGUUAAUACCACGCUGUUCUGACGGUACCCAAAGAAUAAGCACCGGCUAACUUCGUG